GAGUUUGAUCCUGGCUCAGAACGAACGCUGCGGCAUGCCUAACACAUGCAAGUCGAACGAAGCCUUUGGGCUUAGUGGCGCACGGGUGCGUAACGCGUGGGAAUCUGCCCUCUGGUUCGGAAUAACUCAGGGAAACUUGAGCUAAUACCGGAUAAUGACUUCGGUCCAAAGAUUUAUCGCCUGAGGAUGAGCCCGCGUCGGAUUAGCUAGUUGGUGAGGUAAAAGCUCACCCAAGGCGACGAUCUCGUAGCUGGUCUGAGAGGAUGAUCAGCCCACACUGGGACUGAGACACGGCCCAGACUCCUACGGGAGGCAGCAGUGGGGAAUAUUGGACAAUGGGCGAAAGCCUGAUCCAGCAAUGCCGCGUGAGUGAUGAAGGCCUUAGGGUUGUAAAGCUCUUUUACCCGGGAUGAUAAUGACCAGUGACCGGGAGA
This 434-nucleotide ribosomal RNA is filed under the name uncultured bacterium. Its description in RNAcentral is "bacterial SSU rRNA". It matches the Rfam family "Bacterial small subunit ribosomal RNA", at positions 9 to 485 of the family's 1533-position model. The record is from RNAcentral.